GCCUGGGUGGCUCAGUUGGUUAAGCAUCUGACUUCGGCUCAGGUCAUGAUCUCAUGGUUGGUGGGUUCAAGCCCCAUGUCGGGCU
This 85-nucleotide transfer RNA is filed under the name Felis catus (domestic cat). It matches the Rfam family "tRNA". Rfam says of the family: Transfer RNA (tRNA) molecules are approximately 80 nucleotides in length. Their secondary structure includes four short double-helical elements and three loops (D, anti-codon, and T loops). The record is from Rfam by way of RNAcentral. Lineage: Eukaryota; Metazoa; Chordata; Mammalia; Carnivora; Felidae.